GGUGGCUCAGUGGUAGAGUGCUUGCCUUGCAUGCAUGAGGCCCUGGGUUCAAUUUCCCAGCACCA
This 65-nucleotide transfer RNA is filed under the name Dipodomys ordii (Ord's kangaroo rat). It matches the Rfam family "tRNA". Rfam says of the family: Transfer RNA (tRNA) molecules are approximately 80 nucleotides in length. Their secondary structure includes four short double-helical elements and three loops (D, anti-codon, and T loops). Further hydrogen bonds mediate the characteristic L-shaped molecular structure. tRNAs have two regions of fundamental functional importance: the anti-codon, which is responsible for specific mRNA codon recognition, and the 3' end, to which the tRNAs corresponding amino acid is attached (by aminoacyl-tRNA synthetases). tRNAs cope with the degeneracy of the genetic code in two manners: having more than one tRNA (with a specific anti-codon) for a particular amino acid; and 'wobble' base-pairing, i.e. permitting non-standard base-pairing at the 3rd anti-codon position. The record is from Rfam by way of RNAcentral. Lineage: Eukaryota; Metazoa; Chordata; Mammalia; Rodentia; Heteromyidae.